Molecule: long non-coding RNA, 1089 nt
Organism: Syzygium oleosum
Lineage: Eukaryota; Viridiplantae; Streptophyta; Magnoliopsida; Myrtales; Myrtaceae
Exons: 4
Source: RefSeq, a predicted model, not a curated record
UCAUGCCAAUGCAUGUACAGCUGAAGCUCCUGCUCAAUCUCAGGCCAAUGUAUGUUCUUCUAGUACUCAUGCCAAUGCAAGUAUAGCUGAAGUUCAUGCUCAAUCUCAGGCCAAUUCCAUUGGACCAAGGCCUGACAAAAGACAAGCUAAAGCUAAAGCAACGACAAGAGUAAGUGAAGGAGGAUCCAAAGGCCAGGCCAAUGCUUCUGCAGAGGCCAGUGCAAUACGAGACAAUAGUGGGCAAGCCAAUGCUUCUGCUCAGGCUAGUGUAGAUGUAAGAGGAUGCAGUGCCACUGCAGGAGCCCAUAUAGGAUGUACAGCUACCGCUGAUAUAAGAGGAUGCAGUGGUGAGGCCAAUGCUUUUGCCGAAGUUUGUUUUGAUCAAGGUGAAGGUAUUUAUAGUGCUUAAGCCAAUGUAAUUGCUCAAGAUAGACCCUAGAAAAUCCCAUUUAAAAGACCUGCAAUUGAAAAUGAAAUGAUGCAAGGACAAGCAUAGGCGGCGAGGAAGAAAAUGGUAGGGUUAGCUGUUGACACAAAUCAUAGGACAAACCUUCAAAUUCUCAAUCCUGGCACAACUGGUGUAAGACUAUGAAACCUACCAGACAAAGGGGUAGUUUCAGGGGCUGCUUCAAUGGCAAAGGCGCAUCCCCAAGCCAGUGCACAACCUCGGCAAUUAAGAACUUGUCCUCGAAAGCACGCUGCUGUAAAGGGACAUGCACCAUUACAACCCAAGGCGAGUUCCUAACCUCAGUCAUAUCAUGCUACAACAGCUCAAAAACAUGGUGUAAAGCGAACGGCACCGUCACAAUCCCAAGCGAGUUCCCAGCCUCAGUCAUCUCAUGCUACAAUAGCUCCUCGAAAGCAUAUUGCGGUGAAGCCAAAGCCACUAUCACAACCACAGGCCAGUUCCCAGCCUCAGUCAUCUCAGGCUACAACUCCUCCAAAGCCUACUGUUGCGGGACCAUAUAUGAAAAAGCCCAAGAAUUAUGAAUAAUGAGAAGGUCGAACCUGCUGGACCUCCAGAGACCAUAGAAUUGGAUUGAUAUAUUUGCUGAAAAUGAUUUUUUUACGUGAAUUUUUGUCAAUUAU